Molecule: ribosomal RNA, 425 nt
Filed under: uncultured bacterium
Lineage: Bacteria
Description: bacterial SSU rRNA
Rfam family: Bacterial small subunit ribosomal RNA
Source: RNAcentral
GGGGAAUAUUGGACAAUGGGCGCAAGCCUGAUCCAGCAAUGCCGCGUGGGUGAAGAAGGCCUUCGGGUUGUAAAGCCCUUUUGUACGGGAAGAAAUCCUGUCGGUUAAUACCCGGCGGGGAUGACGGUACCGUAAGAAUAAGCACCGGCUAACUUCGUGCCAGCAGCCGCGGUAAUACGAAGGGUGCAAGCGUUAAUCGGAAUUACUGGGCGUAAAGCGUGCGUAGGCGGUUGGUUAAGUCUGUCGUGAAAGCCCUGGGCUCAACCUGGGAAUGGCGAUGGAUACUGGCGAGCUAGAGUGUGAUAGAGGAUGGCGGAAUUCCCGGUGUAGCGGUGAAAUGCGUAGAGAUCGGGAGGAACAUCCGUGGCGAAGGCGGCCAUCUGGAUCAACACUGACGCUGAGGCACGAAAGCGUGGGGAGCAAAC